Sitodiplosis mosellana (orange wheat blossom midge) is the source of this 5153-nucleotide long non-coding RNA. RefSeq lists it as uncharacterized. The transcript is spliced from 4 exons. The record is from RefSeq and is a predicted model, not a curated record. Lineage: Eukaryota; Metazoa; Arthropoda; Insecta; Diptera; Cecidomyiidae.
UUAGAUAUCAUGUCAACCAAAUGAUGGAACCAAUGUACAAGAAUGGAAUUUGAACAGAGGAAAAGUUUUUUUUGCCCAUGGAGACGUUUUGCGUACAGGGAAAUUGCACACGAACAAAAGACAAUCAAUGCAUGAUAAAAGUCGACUUAAUUCGCGGAAUAUGGAGUGAAACGUGGCAAUAGAUAAUAAGCUGCUGCCAUCAUCGCCGAAAAAAGUGAUGAGCGUGAAAAAUUGGAUCGUGUAUUAUGCAACACCACACUAUCAAUACGUAUUUUCCAUGCAACGCUAUUUUUUUUCUAUCACAUUGCCAUUCGGCUUAACCCAAAAAAUUGACUUUGAAAAUAUUAUCCGGGAUUAAUUCAACUUAUUUAUUUCACAUAGUUCAAUUCAACGACAUGUCAUCAAUUAUGUCAAAAUAUUGAUUGAUUUUUCCAAAAUUUCACAGCAAAAUUGCCAUUCUUUCAUUUUUUUGGUGGCUAAAUGAUGGGGCGGAAUGGUUUCAGAUGUAAAUUUCAAUAAAGUGUCAACCAUUUACUUGCCCCCUGUUACUUAUACAAUAAUAACAAAGUUUCGACUAACGUAAACAUUUGUUCGGGCUUAAUUUUAUUAGCGAUGCUUAUCAGAAGAAUUUCUAAUCCAUUACCAUCCCACAAACUGUAUCAUUUACGCCCAAUGGAAUGCAUAAAAUGUUCGGUUGUAUCAAAAUUAAUAACUUAGUUACUGUUGUUAAUCAUAUUAAACAAAUUUAAUUUUUGUUCAUUCUUAUGUCUAUAUAGUGCCAAAUGUACGGCGCAUUAGCUAUAUAUCUAAUUGAUUAUUUGAUGGGCGUUAUGAGUGAGUGCGUGCGUGCAUGCAUGUAUGUUUAUGUGUGCUUCGCUCACAAUCGGCCAAUUUUCAUAAACAUUUGCACAUUGCAAAUUAGUUUAACCAUAUUCCGAUUUUGCAGAUCGUACACUGCUAAUUUCAGAAACAGUCGAGAAUCAAUGCGAAACGAUUAUAAAACGAUACCAAAAAUAAAUUCUGUAUCAACUGAGUGCACACAAUAUCGAAAUCAAAUAAAUUCACCAAGUAAAUACGUGCAAGCAGUGAAGUGAGCGAGCGACUUUAUGUUUGUUUCUGUGUGGUUGUUAUGUAUUUGAAACUAUGACUACUCCUCUAUGGUUGACGAGUGGAAAACUCGAACGUUGUAUAAAGUGGCGCCAUUUCGCAGUCAUCAAAUUCGAAUGUGUGCAUCAUAUAUAUCUGUUGCUUCCAGAAUAAGUCAAUUAGAAUAUGAAUGUUCACAUUUUUCGCUGCUGCGUACAAAAAUACCGGUGGAGGUGGAAUCUGCUCGAAGAAAAUGCACGCAAAAUAGAUAGUGAACCAACAGUUUGUUUGGGUUUCUCCUAAGUUACUUCAUGGAAAUGCUUAAAAUAUAGCAUAAUCAUGAUUGAUUGUUACAACUAGAAAAUGGAGCAAAUAUGUUUUACAUGAAUAUUUUACACAAAGCACGCAUUUCCAUUGAACAUUUGGACGCGUUUCUUGUUGCUGUUUAUCGUUCAUCUUGGAAUUUAUCCGGCAUACAAUGAGUGUUGCAUAUAUGUGUGAGUGUGUAUUUGUAUUGCAGGAAGCAAAUUUCAAGCACAAGCAUUCACAAAGCAAAAAAAAAUUGAUACCGAAUCGAUUAAUGCAAACAUGGAAAACAAGAGAAGAAAGAAGUAGACAUGGGCUGACUUGGAGCGUUGGAGUGAAAUGACAAUUCAAUGUAUGACCAAGUUCAUAUGAAUACAUGAAUGACAAUUCAAAUCUGCAUCCCAUUAUCAAUUUAAAUGCGAUGUUUACUGAUGACCACAGUAUUCGUAUCUACUUUACUUUGGCACAUUGCUCUGGCCAGAGCAACACAAAUUCACUUACUCAAUCCCAUUUCGAACCAUAUUGUUCCAUACAAAAUGUGCUCUGAAUCCGGUGAACGAUGCUGUUCAACAUCAACAACAACAAUACAGUUUGUGUGCAUGUGUGUGCUUGGAAUAAAAUGAGCCAAGUAAUUAUAAUAGAUUUUUAUACAUUUAAAUUCAGCGCUGCGGUUACUCACUAAUUAGAUUCACAGAAGAUCGGUAAAACAGCCAGCUCACCGGGGCCAUUUUAUUUGUUGCCAUCAUUUUCGUAUCGUUGCCAUAACGUAAUGAUUCACACCAAAUUAAAUAACACGAUACAAACUGGACAUAAACAAAAUUAUAGUGGCAUCGAAUGGAUCGGUAUCAGUGCCGCCGAAAAAACACCCACCGAUUUCUUUGCAGCCAUAUAAAAACGAAAUCAUUUCAAGCGGAACACUUUUUAUUCCACAAAAAGAAAAAUAUUGUUGUUAUUCAACAGGAAAAUGAUAUACUUAACCAUGUGAAUGCACAACCCGUUGAGUGUUUAUUGUUUGAAUCAACAACGUAAGACAUAAUACAUAUGUAUAAUUGUUAUAGCAAUGCAAGUUGUGAUUCAUUUGAUAUUCAUAACGUUUAGAAGUAAAAUCGUGUCUACUAAUCGUGUUUAACAUGAAACGAACUUAAUUUCGUUAGUCCGAUUUUUUGUUAUUGCAUGAAAUCACUUGCUUUUGGAUAGCCUGCCAAAUCAAAAUCAGGGCUGCAAUUCUAUGACAUUCCACCAAAAUCGUUCGGAAUUAUUUUUUUGGAGGCGACUAUAUUUGAGUGAAAGAGAGACAUUCCACUAAUUUUCAUCAUCCCAGCCAAAUUACUGCGAUAAAUAUCACCUUUCCUUGAGUUAUCGGAAUAAUUCCGGUAGAAAGAUGAAAAUCAGUGGAAUCUCUCUCUCUCUUUCACUCCAAUAUAGUCUUACGUACGAAAAAAAUAAUUCCGAACGAUCUUGGUGGAAUUUCAAAGAAUUCCAGCCCAGUACCAAAGCGGAAUUUAGCUCAAUUAAUCAACCCAAAGAUAGGCUAAAAAUUGCAUUAUCGCUGGAAAAUGUGUCAAACUAAGAAAAAAACAACAACAGAGGCAUGCCAUGAGAGACAUGUAAGUUGGUGAAUGCCUAAAAGCUGGCCCAAUUAAAAUCAAAUACAUCAGUCCUAAUGUCAUUCCAGCGACGAGAUCUGGAUUUUGAAUGACAGACAUACACGCGACAACGAAGAGAACCAUCUGCGACAUUCAUGAUUUAUUCCCUCGAAACGCAAUUAAUUGAGUUCAUUUGCGAAAGAGCUGUGAACAGUGAAACACAUCGCGUCGUUCGAUUUUCAUAUUUACAUGCCGAUUUACUACUGAUAAAUCACAAGUGCCAUGCAUAUUUUGCAAGCGUAUUCACGUUUUAUUUUUCCUGUUUGGCUCUAAUAAUCUACAUUGAUGCCAUUUUGUAAUCGAAUGAUUAUUUGCAAAUAGUCCUUGGCUGGAAGCAAGUAGCCGGAUAAAAGCGGUAGAUUUCGGGAAGUGGAUCCAUUUAACCUACAAAAUACCAUCAUCGAUUCAUAUAAUUCCGCUUACAUCAAUCAAUCGGUAUGGAUGUUUCGCUUCCAAUGCUAAAAAUAUAAUCGAUACAUUCGAGUAAUGAAUAUCUGAAAGAAGAGCAAUUGCGAAACAACAAAUAAAUUAAUUAACUCACUGCCAUUUCUUGUCUGCAGGAUUUCAUUUUCAUUGCUGCAGGUGUUUAUUGUCAUUGUAAUAAUAAGAGAGUUCUCUAUCUCAAUCUCGCGCUCUAUUUAUCAAAAAAUGGUCAGACUAGAGAGUCAAGACUGGAUUGCGGCUAAAAAUGAAGUUGACUAAUUAGAAUUUUCAAUUACAAUAGAAAUUCAACCGAAAAUGAGGCAACGAAAUUGAUGCGCUCCAGGCUAUAGAUUGUAACAAGUCUCGCUUUUCAAUUAUGCCCUUUUGCAAUAGACGCUUGCUUACACUCCUACUACAUCCCUAUCCAUUCCAAUGCCCAAUAACGGUUUAGUAAUAGCAAACGCAUACGACUCUUUUGCUAGAGAUAUAAAUAUACAGAACAUUAGCAGAAUCAAAAGAGUGGCCAGAUUCAAAGUUGUAGUUCUAUCAGUACUUCAGUUUCCGUUCAGAGGUCAACUGAAGCAUUCUUCAUACAAACCAGAUUUAGAUAUGUAUGUGGUUGUGUGUACGUGUGUAUGUAAAACUUCAAGAUUCGAGACACAACUAGUAAGAAAAAAAAGGAACUGCGAAAAUUCAAAGGAAUAAAUAAUAAUGUCUAUUGACUAGAUCGAGAGGAGACCGUUUCAUCAGGCGAUCUCGGCAAAGUGUUUAUUCUGUAUCAACCAUUGUAAUACAUUGGACCAUUUCCAACGUGAAAGUUUUCGAAUUUUCUACUUGGCACCGGCCCGUGUGACUGAGGACAGAUUUUAAUUAUGAGCUAAUAAUAAUCGGCGGAACUUGGGAAACUUUAUAAUAUGACGAUCGCAUCAAGAUGUUACGAAUCUGAUUUGUGGAAAAUCUGUGGAUAAAGAAAUGGAAUGUUUGCAAGGAUUUCGAGCUUUUCAUCGACAUAAUGAUGAAAUGUCAUCAUUAUAGGAUAUUAAUCCUAUUAGACUGUUAAAUGAUGACUUUUAUACUCCGUUUGCCGCGCAGUAUCUAAAAUAAAUAUUUGAUUCUUUUAAACGCUAAAGAUAACAACGACGACGACAUUUCUGCUGCCGAUGUCUUCAGCUUCAUUACACCGUACCGAUUUGGUACUUAGUCAAGCCGGAAAAGACAAAAGGGCACGAACAUGAUACAAUAAACAUCUGAUGCAACAGUAAAAACAAUAAUAAAAACUAAAAAAACCAAAAAAUCCACCACUAAUUUAAAGAAAAAUCAAAUUACGUUAAGCCAAAGAAGCAUUGUGUGCGGUGGAAAAUGUUUGAAACACUGUGUGUGCGUGUGCGAAACAAAUGGUGAUUGACAAGUGAAUAUGUGUGAAAACGACACACCAACGUUUUGGGGCCGAUGAUUAAAACAAUUCCGUUUGUUUGUGACAAGUAAAAGUACUCGGAGGUGUAUUCGUUGUGUGUUUAUCUACACGGUUGACGGCCCAAACACGUCCAGCAACAACACACAUAGCACAGCACAGCACGGCACAGCGGUGCAGUAUUAAAAUUUCAUUGUAUGUUCCAAAGUGAAUAUCAUCAGGAAUAUUAUCGCUUGUAAACAUCUGUGAUAUCAAAUAAAUAAAAACCAACAGAAAAAAAA